Candidatus Magnetoglobus multicellularis str. Araruama is the source of this 151-nucleotide non-coding RNA. Lineage: Bacteria; Pseudomonadati; Thermodesulfobacteriota; Desulfobacteria; Desulfobacterales; Desulfobacteraceae. The record is from Rfam.
CCUGGUAUGUUCCUACCAGUCCCUAAGCGGGCGUGCUCGCCACGCGCUGUGUGGUCGGUGCGCAGCCCCGCUGACAAAGGAUCGAAUUGGGUUGGGUUGGAUUGGAUUGGUGACAUGAAAACCCCUCAGGAAAUCCUCUCCUGUUAAGGCC